This 2441-nucleotide long non-coding RNA is filed under the name Coffea arabica (coffee). RNAcentral's name for it is "long non-coding RNA (CARA_LNC002111)". Lineage: Eukaryota; Viridiplantae; Streptophyta; Magnoliopsida; Gentianales; Rubiaceae. The record is from RNAcentral.
UCAGACCUGGAGGCUAUUUUGCUUAUUCAUCUCCUGAAGCAUAUGCACAAGACGAUGAGGAUUUGAGAAUCUGGAGAGAGAUGAGUGCACUUGUGGAACGUAUGUGUUGGAGAAUAGCUGAAAAAAGGAAUCAAACUGUCAUUUGGGUCAAGCCUUUGACAAAUGACUGUUAUAUGGAACGACCACCUGGUACUCAACCCCCUCUUUGCCAGUCUGAUGAUGAUCCUGAUGCAGUGUGGGGAGUCAAAAUGGAAGCUUGCAUUUCACGUUACUCAGACCGUAAGUUUCUGAUUUGCAUCAAACUUAUUUUAUUUUAUUUUUUCUUUACCUUUUUGUAGCCCUAAAUGUGAAACAUAUUCAAUAAAGUUCGGAGAUGAUAAUUACUCUGCACUUAGAAACAGUGCUUGAAGAUCAGGGCUGGUGAAUACGAUCCAAUAUCCUGAAUUUUAGAAAGCUUGAGUGCUUAAAGCCUUAAAUGGGGCAGAUUUUACCUGAAUAAUAACUUGCUAUUAGCUAAAGAAGCAGCAGGUUGUUUAUUUGCUCUUCACUUAAGAUUUUUUUUAUUUGUAGUCACUUGCUGUAUUCAGAAGUGAUAACUACCUCCUUAGUUUGUGUUUUAAGUGCUUUUCACAUUGGGUUACAGCCUGUGAAUGGAUAGAAAGUUCUUGGCUUUAGGGCACAAAUUGAAUGGUUUGGCACUUGUACUAACAAUUGUAGUUUGAAGUUAAAAGAGUUUUGGUGCUUCAGGGUUAUGCCGAGGACAAUCACAAUAGUAAUGGAAAAAACAGGUUUAUGAUCUAAAUGGUAAUUUACUCUGUUCUUUUUCUUUCAGAUGAUCAUAGGACUAGGGGUAGCGGUUUGGCCCCUUGGCCUGCUCGACUGACUGCUCCACCUCCACGCCUUGCUGAUUUCGGUUACUCAAGUGAAAUGUGGGAAAAAGACAUGGUAAUUUUGAGGCCUAAUAUUAGCUCUCUCUCUCUUUCUCUCUCUCUCUGUCUCUCUCUCUCUCUAUGUGCUCUUUAGUUGUAUAUCUCAAAGGCCUUUGUACUUCUGUGGUAUAUGCACAGCAACUUUGGCAGCGGAGGGUUGAGAAUUACUGGAAUCUUUUAAGUCCAAAGAUUUCAUCAGACACUCUGAGAAAUGUGAUGGACAUGAAAGCGAAUAUGGGCUCAUUUGGAGCUGCUUUGAAGGACAAAAACGUUUGGGUGAUGAAUGUUGUGCCUGAAGAUGGUCCUAACACGCUUAAGCUUGUGUACGAUAGAGGGCUUAUUGGCACAAUCCAUAACUGGUAUGCUACUGAAUUGUUUUGUAGUUUUCAUAAAUUUGAAGUUUGGUUACUAAAUUUUCAUCUUCUGGUACAAGUGAAUAAUUCAAGGGUUGGAAGAGUUAAUUUAGUGGCUGAAGAAAAUUUAGAUUAUUGGAACAUAUUAUAACAUUUGUCUUGGUAUGUUGAGGCUCUAUUCUUCUUUUCUUGAGCUUCUUAAAUUUGAUUAUGGAAAAAUAAUUGCUGCUCAAAAAAUUUGAAAACAUGUUUUGGUUGUUUAGGGUUUUUGAAAGCCAAAAACUGUUUUCAGAAUCACCUCCAGGCUGCUGUCAGCAAUCAGUUUAUUCAAGCAUAAUUAAAGCUUAAAAAGAAGGUCAACUGCAAGUGAGACUACCUAGAAAAGAGAUUUUAGCUAAAGAAUGUAUGUACUCAGCUGAUUUUAAGCAACUUAGGACAGGCACCAAUGGCCGAGAGUUUUCCUAGCUUUCUUAGAAAAGUGACAAACAUUGCAGAUGCUCUAUAACCUUUAUUCAGUAUGCCUUACUUCAAAUUUGUUGGAAACAGGUGUGAAGCCUUCUCAACAUACCCUAGGACUUAUGAUUUGCUCCAUGCUUGGUCUGUGUUCUCUGAUAUUGAGAAGAAGGGUUGUAGCGGUGAGGAUCUGCUGCUUGAAAUGGAUCGGAUACUAAGGCCUACUGGAUUUGUUAUCAUCAGGGACAAACAACCGGUUAUUGAGUUUGUAAAGAAGUACAUGGGUGCGAUGCACUGGGAAGCAGUUGGAACAGCUGAUUCCACUUCUGAUCCAGACCAGGAAGGAGAUGAACUCGUGUUUGUCAUCCAAAAGAAGCUGUGGUUGACUAGUGAAAGUUUGAGGGAUACAGAAUAGGCAAACAGUGUGGUGCACCUCAAUUGUCUUCUAUAUCCACACGCUCCCAUCUCUUUGGAUUCAAGAAGGACGUCCUGAGAGCAUGGAAAUCAGUUUUUUACUCUGUAGCAUUAUGUGAUGAUGAUUUUUCUAAAUUUUCUCUUCAGCUUUGAUUUUGAUUUAGUUGACAAGGCAUAGACUUCUGCACCUAUAGGCAAUUCUUCAUUGUUUUGAUAUCAAUAGAUUUUGAGUUAUUUUGAAGCCACUUUGCCAAUGACCAAUAAUCUCAGCUGCUAUACAUGCUAAAAGUGG